GUAACUUAUGACACUUUACUAGCUUAGAACUAGGACCGGGUACUAGUUAUUUUUAUUAUAAAACGUUUAUUAUGCCCGAAACCGAUCGAGCUAGCUGACGGCAGGUGCGGCUCUUUUCCGCGACCGAACCCGUGUUUGUGGCAAUAAACUGGGAAGACCGGCAGCUAGGGGUGAAAGGUCAAUCAAGUUCGGUAAGAUAGCUGGUUUUCUACGAAAUCUAUUCAGGUAAAGAGUGUAUGUUUGGACCAUUUUUAAUA
This 257-nucleotide ribosomal RNA is filed under the name Eudorina sp. 2006-703-Eu-15. RNAcentral's name for it is "large subunit ribosomal RNA". It matches the Rfam family "Bacterial large subunit ribosomal RNA", at positions 623 to 904 of the family's 2925-position model. Lineage: Eukaryota; Viridiplantae; Chlorophyta; Chlorophyceae; Chlamydomonadales; Volvocaceae. The record is from RNAcentral.